Molecule: microRNA precursor, 101 nt
Filed under: Marmota monax (woodchuck)
Lineage: Eukaryota; Metazoa; Chordata; Mammalia; Rodentia; Sciuridae
Source: RNAcentral
AGUGGAGUAGCUGGGUCAUUUGUGGUUCUAUUCCUAGUUUUUGAGGAAUCUCAAAACUGCUUUUCAGAAGGGUUCUACUAGUCUGCAGUCCCACAAGCCAU